UNUGACUUAAGUGCAGAAGGGGAGAGUGGAAUUCCAUGUGUAGCGGUGAAAUGCGUAGAUAUAUGGAGGAACACCAGUGGCGAAAGCGGCUCUCUGNUCUGUCGCUGACGCUGAGGCUCGAAAGCGUGGGUAGCGAACAGGAUUAGAUACCCUGGUAGUCCACGCCGUAAACGAUGAGUGCUAGGUGUUAGGCCCUUUCCGGGGCUUAGUGCCGGAGCUAACGCAAUAAGCACUCCGCCUGGGGAGUACGACCGCAAGGUUGAAACUCAAAGGAAUUGACGGGGGCCCGCACAAGCGGUGGAGCAUGUGGUUUAAUUCGAAGCAACGCGAAGAACCUUACCAGGUCUUGACAUCCCGAUGCUAUUCUUAGAGAUAGGAAGUUACUUCGGUACAUCGGAGACAGGUGGUGCAUGGUUGUCGUCAGCUCGUGUCGUGAGAUGUUGGGUUAAGUCCCGCAACGAGCGCAACCCUUAUUGUUAGUUGCCAUCAUUAAGUUGGGCACUCUAGCGAGACUGCCGGUAAUAAACCGGAGGAAGGUGGGGAUGACGUCAAAUCAUCAUGCCCCUUAUGACCUGGGCUACACACGUGCUACAAUGGUCGGUACAACGAGUUGCGAGCCGGUGACGGCAAGCUAAUCUCUGAAAGCCGAUCUCAGUUCGGAUUGGAGGCUGCAACUCGCCUCCAUGAAGUCGGAAUCGCUAGUAAUCGCGGAUCAGCACGCCGCGGUGAAUACGUUCCCGGGCCUUGUACACACCGCCCGUCACACCACGAGAGUUUGUAACACCCGAAGUCGGUGAGGUANCCUUUUAGGG
Molecule: ribosomal RNA, 812 nt
Filed under: uncultured bacterium
Lineage: Bacteria
Description: bacterial SSU rRNA
Rfam family: Bacterial small subunit ribosomal RNA
Source: RNAcentral